AUUUUUAAUAUUACAUAUUACAUUUGAAUGUUCUUAAAACCAGGAAAACAACAAACAAAACAAUUAUGACAUACCAGAAAGGGGCAUUCAGUGCACAGCAUAUAUUCUCAAAUAUAAAUAAUCCUCUACUCCCAGAAAAAUAAUUCCUAAGAUUUUUGUCUAAAGUCAAUUAUGGUGUUAUUAAGUAAAAUUGUAUAUACACUUCUAAUUUCUUCCAUUUAAAAACAUUUCAUAUUAAAAGUAAUAAUCAACUAAACUCUGUAAUACAGGGGUAAGCCAAUAAUAAAAAGGCCCAGUUUAGGAUGAAAGUCACUGUUUUUUGUGGUGAUUUGGAAAUUCCCAAUUAAUGAAGUUGAUGAAAAAUUAAGUGGUAGACUUUAAUUGCUGGAGAGAUAACUUGAACUUUGUAGGUAUUUGAAUGCUAAUGUUCUGGAUUUUCAUUUGCUUCAUCAGAAUUCACUCAAUAAUUCUAACUUAUACAAUAGUCAAGGCAACAGAAAAGAAAUACAGCUUGGAGGCAGAGGCUGAUCUUGAUUUUCCUAAUUCUCUAUUGCCUGAGAAGCCAUCUACACACAUCAGGCCUUGGCUUUGUACUUCAGCAAUGGAGAUGAGGAAAGCACACAUAUCUAGUCAAUCUCAGGUGUGCUGUUGCUUUGGUCAUUUCAAACUCGAUGUGACAGCAAUUAACAGAUUAGGACAUGCUAUAGGUAGUCAAAAGAGAUACUCAGAAUGCAGGGUUGUAAAAGAGUCUUAUUUAUUAGAAAUAAUAACAAAGUACUUUUAUACACAUGUUAUGUAACAUAUAAAGUCUGGGCUAUUAGGCUCCAGGGUAAUAGUGAAUUUAUUAUAGAACCUAAAAUACCAAGCUUAAAUACUUAAGAAUUCCUGCUUACAGCUAGAGUUAUUUUUUUUAAUUUAAGUUUAGUAGAUAAAGGUCUAUUGAAAAAUACUGCAAAAAUAUGAAAUUUCAAUAGCAUCAGUGACCAUAUGUAUUGUAAAACUCUCUUUCUGGAGAAAUAGUGAAUUGACCUAGCCCAAUAACAAUACAUUUUCUCCUAAAAAAUGCAAGUGUAUAUAGCAAUACUGUAUACAUAUAUGCAAACAACAAUAUUCUUCCAUCAAAAAUGAAUAACCCUUAAAAAUUAUAAUGUAUACAGCAGACCACUCUAUGCACAAAAACUAUAUUUUGGAGUCAAAGAACAGUAAAGUACAACCAACUGUAGAUCUUCUUUGUUAAUGGACCAUGGGAAGAACAUUAAAACACAAAUAAACAAAGUUAGUUUAUUUAUUUGACAAAUAUUUUGAGCACAUAUCAUGUGCCAGGUGUUGUGUUUGGCACUGACAAUGCAAUUGUGGACAUGACAGGCAUGUUCUCUGCUCUUGUGAAAUCUAUUGUCUAAUGGAGGAAGCUGACAAAUAGGCUAUUACAAUAUAGCAUGAGAAGUGCUAAUAGGGAAAGUACUGAGUUCCACAUGAUGAGGAAGCAAACACAUAGAGAGAAACUAAAACUAGAUUUAAAGGAGUCAGAGUUUUCCUGGAGGACAUGCUGUCCAAGUUGAGGACUUAAGAGUAUGCAGAUAUAGGUCAUUCUGGUGAGGUUAAAGAAAGAAGGGAAAGUAUGUACAAAAUUUGGGAAGUAAGAAAGCAUGCCUCUUUCAAAACAUAAACAUUUCAUGAAGGGCUUGUAAAAUGUAUGAAGGAAUAAGACGUUUAUCAUAAUGGUAACAAGCUGCCAUUAAAAACAUUUAGGCUACGGAGAUUAGAGUUUUAUUUUAGAAACAUUACUGUAUGGGGCAGCGAGAAGGGUCCCCGCCUGGCCCGGCAGACGGCCCCCACCACCCUGGCUCUCCUGGCGGCCCCGCUCGCUCUGUGAUCAGCCACCCCGCCCGCCCGGCUCUUAGCCACGAGGCCGCUGCCUACCGGGUUCUACAAGCGGCCCCCGGCGGCCGGCGUGGAGAGAAGGGUCCCCGCCUGGCCUGGCAAACGGCCUGCGCCCUCCUGGCUCUGCUAACGCCCCGCCCGCACGGCUAAUGGCCCCCUGCCCGCGUGGCUCUGCAAACGGCCCUGCCCACCUGGCAAACGGCCCCCCGCCGCCCUCCGGGCUCUGCUGGCGCCCCGCCCGCAGCCAGUGCCCCAGGCUCUGCAGGCGGCCCCCAGCCGCCCUGCACAGC
Molecule: long non-coding RNA, 2171 nt
Filed under: Marmota monax (woodchuck)
Lineage: Eukaryota; Metazoa; Chordata; Mammalia; Rodentia; Sciuridae
Source: RNAcentral